RNAcentral lists this ribosomal RNA (373 nucleotides) under uncultured bacterium. RNAcentral's name for it is "bacterial SSU rRNA". It matches the Rfam family "Bacterial small subunit ribosomal RNA", at positions 527 to 898 of the family's 1533-position model. The record is from RNAcentral.
GUAGGGACCAAGCGUUGUUCGGAUUUACUGGGCGUAAAGGGAGCGUAGGCGGCAAUUCAAGUCAGUUGUGAAAUCUCCGAGCUUAACUCGGAACGGUCAACUGAUACUGCUUUGCUAGAGUACAGAAGGGGCAAUCGGAAUUCUUGGUGUAGCGGUGAAAUGCGUAGAUAUCAAGAGGAACACCUGAGGUGAAGACGGGUUGCUGGGCUGAUACUGACGCUGAGGCUCGAAAGCUAGGGUAGCAAACGGGAUUAGAUACCCCGGUAGUCCUAGCCCUAAACGAUGAAUGCUUGGUGUCUGGAGUUUCAAUUCUCCGGGUGCCGUCGCUAACGUUUUAAGCAUUCCGCCUGGGGAGUACGUACGCAAGUAUGAA